GAGAUACGAACGGCCACGAUCUGCACAAACUGUCAUACCUUGCAUUCUCAUCCUCGUCAAGCUCAAAGAAAAUCACAACAUAAAACGGAGCGUCACCGUUCGACCGAGAGAGCCACAGUCUGACGAGAGCCGCAAAUGCGACUACCGCAGCUAGCAGAGCUCGAGCGAGUCCAAACCGGAAUCCUCAAUGGAAUAUCAAACCUCGAUCUCACUCUCCUCUCCAAACAACGACCUCUCCGCCGCCGCCAACGACGACAUGGGGCUACCUAAGCUCGUCUCUCCGCCAUUCUCUGAUCAAACGGUGUCACUGACUUCGUCUUCGUAAAAGCUCCCCCCGAUUACUACGACCGGUCUAUCGAGUCCCGACUCGACAAUCUCGGUGCCGCCUCUAUUCAUCACCGCUGUAAAAGCAUCGUCUUGGUUAAUACACGGGCCCCAUCCAAAAUCAUUGACUGCAGUGAUCACAAUAAUUCAAAGUAUUACAGUGUUGUUGUUCUGCACACUGUUUGAUUCAAUGCUGAAGCGGUUAAAAACUAUUUGUUUGCACUCAACGAUGGGAAGAUAUCUAAAAAGAAAAUCAAUUGUAAGUUGUUAUCCUCUUGAUGAUCAUAAAGGCUCAUAUAACAACUUAAAUAAUCAUUCUUCAGAUGGAAAAGAGUGGUUUAUUAAUAUAGGUUGCAAGUGUUUUUCAAGUCAUUAUGAAUACAUUUUCUGUGAAUUCUCUUAUGCCUUUGUGAACAAAUAAUCUCAGCAGUCAGUAACAAUUGCAAUACAAUUCAAUAGUUAUUAUUGCGCAUAAGAGGUGGGUAACAAUUAAAAACACUCCAUUAACUAUUUGGUUAUGUAUUAGAAGUGGGUGGGUGUUGCAUUUGGUACUGGAGACUGGAUAGUUAAUUCAAUUUAAUUGAUGCAAAGUAAUAAUAUUGAUGGCUCUUGUAUCUUUGGGAAUCACCAUCUACCCAAAGCUUUUGGGUUGUUGAUCUAGUAUAUCAUAGUUUCCAACAGAGCUGUGCCAUGGCACAUCCAUUGUGCUAGUGAUACAUCUUUCUUAAUGUUUUACUAUUUUCAUUACCAUUUCCUUCUUAUGCAUAAAUAACUUGAAUAUACUCUUAUAGUUUCCUAACAAUAUGAAGAAAAAGGUAAAGAUCACUCCCAAUGGUUAAUUGACAAUAAAUAAAUAAAGAGUUUCCAUGCCUUUGUAUAUCCGUGGAAUGGAGUACCAAGAUGGGACACUGAGUCACUGACUCACCUCAUGCUUCCUCACAUGAAGAUAUCAGGAUUAUUUUUAAAAUUAACACAGUAAAUUAAAAAAUUUAACAGUGUAACACCAUUUGAAAAAAAUUUAGUAAAAUAGUAUAUUUUUACGUUGUGGUGACAACUUAACAUAGAGUCUUAUUAUCAAUUCUUUGGCCCAAUUGGCUGGUUAAUUCAGUCAAUUGUAUGAACUGGUCAAUCGUUUCACAUAAAACUAUAAUUUUAUGAAUUUUUUAUUCUAAAUAUGUUUUAUAAAUUAAAAUAUACAUUUUUUUUUCUUUCCAACCUAGAGACUCAAAAACAGAUUACAAUUAAAAUCUCAAAAAUUUAUUGUUCACACAAUAGUUGUCCUUUGUUUUUCAUUUUUCAAUGUCAAUGAUAUAGUCGGGCUUGUGAUAACGGGUAAUUUUGAGCAGUCAGUUAUGGGUCUAUCAUAACUAGAUAAAUAUUUGCCCCAAACAAAUUACGUGAAUGGCCUAGUAAAUGCAUUUAUGACCAAUAGAUAAAAUGUUCACACAAUAGUUGUCCUUUGUUUUUCGUUUUUCAAUGUCAAUAAUAUAGUCGGGCUUGUGAUAACGAGUAAUUUUGAGCAGUCAGUUGUGGGUCUAUCAUAACUAGAUAAAUAUUUGCCCCAAAUAGAUUACGUGAAUGACCUAGCAAAUGCAUUUAUGAUUAGUGGGACAUGUCUAAUUCCAAGAGAAGGUCUGGUCGUGUCAUACCAUAAUAAUGGCUCAAAAGGGCUAUAAUUUUUUAUUUGAUCAUUUGAUUGCGUUUAAAUUUUAACGGGAGUUUCUAGAGGCUAUUUUUCUGAUGGAAUCGCUACUUCGACCUUCAGAUUUUUAGAUUUUAAAAAUUUAGUCUCGACACCUUGAUUUUGGCAAUUUUAUUAUUUUUUUUAUGAACCAAUUGACCAGUUUGUUCUAAAUUUAAUUGAUGUCAUAGUUAUGAACUACAAUAUCAAUUAAAAUUUUAUCGUGAUUCCUAACUAUGAUAUUUAAUUAAUGUCGCGGUUCAAAACCGUAAUAUUUAAAAGUGUGUUAACCGAAAUUUUUUGCUUGUGUUAUUUCACCAAAAGUUUUGCUUUUUUAUUUAUUCGACAUUUCUUUUCUUUUUAUAUUAAUUACCCAAUUUAUCAAAGAUAUCAUAAUUGCAUAAAUAUUUCAAUAUCUUUUAUCAGCAUCAUUAACUUAAGUUGCCGAUAUCUCUUCUUGUUUAAAAUUUACAUAUACCUUCCAAUAUUCUUUUAUUAUCAAGAUUGUGGAAACAUUGUUUGAAGAAUCUCGAUUCCCAUUUGACUCUGUGCGCAUGUGUGUCCAAGUAAUGGCUUGUGAACAACAAUCAUAAGUCAAUUGAUUUGACUGAUAAGAAUGUUGUCCCCUUUCAUAGACGCAUAAGUAGUCAUGAUUUGCCUAUUGUCAGUAAAAAUUAGAACGCAUAGACAAGAUUUGUGGAGGACAUGGCUUGUUUGAAAAAUGGACAUGACAUGUCGGGUUUCAUUGACACGUUUUCUUAUCUGCUCUUGUAUUCAUACAAAAGUUCUAGCUUAAGUGGUUAUAUGCUUGCACUAUUAAAAACUACCAAGUAUGGUUAUAAAGAAAAUACUUGAAGAGUUAUACAGCAUCGUGAAAAGUUGAGAAAAUGAUGUUUGUCACAAGAAUUGUCAUUUGCAUGAAGACUUUGUUGGACAGGGAACAUAAAACAAACAUAAGAUACCACAGGAAAUGCUAAAAGAAUUGUCAUUGAGAGCUCUACCCAAGAAGUGUUGAAUAAUGUCUUCACGAUAGAAAUAUUUCAGUGAUGGAUGUUGUGUUAUGUUUGAAUGCCCUUUUGUUUCUUUGACUAAUAAAUCUGUAGGACUUGGACAUAGUUAAAAGUAUCUGGGAACUAGUAAGUUUGAUGAAUACUUAUUUAUGUAAGACUCUGCACCAUAGAAGAUGCAAGUUUUGCUGUAAAUUUUACUCCCCUUUUCUUUUUCAUUUUUGUUGGUUGUUUUCUCUUUUCCCCUGGUAGGCUUGCAACACAAGUGCAGUUUCAUCAACCUUUAUGUGAUUUUUAAGUGAGAAGGCAAUGCAAUGUCGUCUUCUUUCUUUCUUAUUUUUAACAUGCAGUGAGGCUUGCCCCUAAGGAGACACCAGCUAAGCUGAUGGGAUGUGAGCAUAAUGCAGUGACGUGUUAGCUAGAAAACAGACAUUCCGAUAAAUACUCAUCUUUUUUCUAUGAAAUCAAGAGAUGGAAACUGUUCUUUCACUAUUUACCAAUCUCAAAUUGCAACUUUUAGCAUUCAAUGCCUCUUCAAGCUCCGUCCUGGCUUGCAAAUAUGUUGGUAAUCUUUGGAAGGAAGAUUAAUUGCUAAGCUGUCAGCUUAAUGCAAUUCCCAGAGUUAGAGAAUUUAGGAUCAAUCUCUAUCAAGAUUUGUUGGUUUUGAUCCAAAUUCUUCACUUGAAUGCCUUUUCACUUCCUGUGGUGUAAAGCUUACCAAGGUCUUCUUGAUGUGCACAUGUACAUGUUUCCCAGACAGUACACGCUUCAGUGUUCUGUCUUGCUUGAUGCAGCAUGAACACUUAGACAGUUUGUCCCAAGGAUUAAUGGCUGAGGUAGAUACUUAUCCCUGUUUUGCGUAUUGGUGGUGUGGCUGUUUUGUAUACACGUAUGGAAAUUUUGGCAAAAGAAAAGUAAACUGUACUCUUGAUUUGUUAUUCGUAUCAUGAAUGCUAACAUGGAACUAUUUUUUCAUUAAUCAAAUCGUCAACUGCUAUGCCAGCUAUUGAGUAUUCAAGUGGUCCAUGGUUCUAAACAUCAUACUGUCAAAUUGGGAUGUAACGUAGUGGUCCACUGUAAUGGUGGUCAAGAUCAAUGAUUCUCUGCCAGUCGACUGACACUAAAAUAAACUUUGGGUUGACACUUAACGUUGAGUUGCUCGCAUAGAUAUAGGCCUGAGCUAGCUGGGAAUAUUUACUGCAAACAGCUGUAGAGAUGCAUAUCUGUCUCUGAUUUUGCACAUACAUUUGUAUAGGGAACAUCGUAAAAUGUGACAGGGAAAGAUGAAGUCUUUCAAAAAUAUUUGAGAUUAGCAGGGGAUGAUCCUGAAAGAUUGACACACAAGCGUAUGGAUAUAUAUACAUGAGGCGAGAGAAUUAUGCCUAUCAUUGUAGUCUUACUAAUUGGAUUGAAGAGUUUUGAUCUCAGGUGAUUUUGGAUGAAGCAAUUGUAAGACUCAUUCCUGAUUUCUUCUUGUUGGAUGGUGGAGAGGUUUCUCUGAAGCUGGCGAUAAGGACCUUGGAAUUUAUUCAGGACAUGAAGAACAGACAUUUACAUCAAGUUUUUACAGAGAUUUAUUCUUUUCUUUUUAGGACAGUAAUGACAUUUGAAGUAGAAACUUUUGCUGUGCACUUCAUUGGUUCUUGGGAUUGAAAUUCUGUUGGAAGAUCUUUAGAUCUGUAGCGAAUAUAUUGAUUUUUGUUUCUAGCUAAUGUUAUGGCAGGGAAAAGUCUACUUUUGCCAA
Long non-coding RNA from Populus nigra (black poplar), 4756 nucleotides. RefSeq lists it as uncharacterized. The record is from RefSeq and is a predicted model, not a curated record. The transcript has 4 exons. NCBI's taxonomy places the organism in Eukaryota, Viridiplantae, Streptophyta, Magnoliopsida, Malpighiales, Salicaceae.